UACGUAGGGGGCAAGCGUUGUCCGGAUUUAUUGGGCGUAAAGAGCGUGUAGGCGGCCUGAAAGGUCAGCUGUGAAAGCCCCGGGCUCAACCUGGGAAUUGCAUUUGAGACUGCGUAGCUAGGGUGCGGAAGAGGGAAGCGGAAUUUCCGGUGUAGCGGUGAAAUGCGUAGAUAUCGGAAGGAACACCAGUGGCGAAAGCGGCUUCCUGGUCCAGCACCGACGUUCAGGCACGAAAGCGUGGGGAGCAAACAGG
This 253-nucleotide ribosomal RNA is filed under the name uncultured bacterium. RNAcentral's name for it is "partial 16S ribosomal RNA". It matches the Rfam family "Bacterial small subunit ribosomal RNA", at positions 524 to 776 of the family's 1533-position model. The record is from RNAcentral.